AAAACACGUUUAAACGCUUUAAAGACCGAUUAACAUUUCGAGAUUUAAUGCGUUUAUGUGACUGCUGCCCUCAGUGACGUGCACGCGCGGCUUUAGGAUUGGCUUUAUGCUUUUUGGAAGUGUGUGUGUGUGUAGGUGGGGAGGGGGAUUGUUAGUUGCUUUCGGCUGUGAUUUAUCGCAGUCCCGGGGAACGCGGCUCCCGUUCCUGUCCUAACGCAUUUCAGCGCGCGCAUCAGCCGUGAUUAAACACCUGCUAUGGCGCGCGAACAAAGCGCGCUAAUCCAAUAUGUAUCUCUGACAUCUUAAAUAUCGUCCAAUCCCCCGGCAUCACGCGCAGCUUUUCCGCAAGAUGGAAUUCUAAAACAUAUUUUUCUAAUUUAUGGACGGACGAUAAAUCAAAAUUAAGCCGCGGACAAUGAAAUAUACAUCAGCGUGCCGAGAACAGGCUUGAAAUGCAGCUACAGGCUCGAGCGCGCGCAUAGGUGUGGGGUUUGCUUUGCAGUGGGUUUUUAUGGUCUUGCUUUAGGAAACAUCAGAGAUGGCUCGUCAAAUUCUGGCCCUAUUCAAAAUUUACCCUGAUCUUCUCUGAGUGGUUUCCAUCAAUGCAUCAGUCAAUCAAUCUUCACCAACACCACACGGCAUCAGCAACUCCAUUUUGUUGUUUCUUCUAAUGGAAUCGGCUCUCCAUGAGAGUUCUGAUGAGUGCGAGUGAUGAACGAGGACACAGUUUGGUGAGAGGCACCAGUCCCCGGUUCCCCGUCCCCCACCCGUACACGACGUCCUUCGGCUCUUGCAGGCGCAUCAUGUGCCGCCGGAGCGGACAGAUGAAGAAGAGGAUAUUAAGUGACUCUAUCUAACAUCCAGGACACAAUGGCGGUGAUUGAUGGAGGACAAAGUAGGAACAGCAGGACGGAGGAUGGGGAGGGGGGUGUCCGCUGGGGGUCUCUGUCGAGAGCCGUGUUUACUCACUGAUGCUCUCCACAAGACAGCCAUUGACACUCGGAUGGAUGAGUCCCGCGGAGCCAGAGGUUACCGGGGCUGGAAUAUAGAGCUCCUCCACGACACGCUCCCUUCACCUAAUCUUCCGGCAAAAUAUUUAUCAUUAUCAAUUGCGGCCUGCUCUCUGACAUUAGAAUAGCACGUAUGGAUAAACCUCGGGAGGAUUAUCGAUCCGCCCGACAGCAAGGCUCACACAGGCGGCCGUGGAAGACUUGGGGUCAUACGGGACAAUAAGAAUAAAAUCCCGGUGUAUCCAGCACUCCGCUCGAGUUUAUUAAGUAAAACAAUGAGCCAAAUCACACCUCCGUGACAUACGUACACAGCCCACAAACGCUUCUGGAGCAACCCAGCGCUGCACAGUUACUUUCCUACACACUGAUUUGAUUUACAAUCAACAAUUUUGGAAUAAUUAUAAUUUUUUUAAUGCUUUUGAAAGAAGUAUUUUAAGUUAACUUGCUGCAUUUAUUUGAUCAAAAAACAAUAAUAUUUUAAAAUACUUUUAAACAUCUGUUUUCUAGUUGUAUAAAUUUAAAAUUUACUGGUAAUUUAUUCUAACUGAUCAAAGCUGAAUCUUCAGCAUCAUUCCUCCAGUCUUCAGUGUCACAUGAUCCUUCAGAAAUCAUUCU
This is a non-coding RNA of Pimephales promelas (fathead minnow), 1625 nucleotides long. NCBI's taxonomy places the organism in Eukaryota, Metazoa, Chordata, Actinopteri, Cypriniformes, Leuciscidae. The record is from RefSeq and is a predicted model, not a curated record.